CGGAUCGGAGUCUGCAACCCGACUCUGUGAAGCUGGAUUCGCUAGUAAUCGCGCAUCAGCCAUGGCGCGGUGAAUACGUCCCCGGGCCUUGUACACACCGCCCGUCAAGCCAUGGGAGCCGAGGGCGCUUGAAGUGCGUCGCCGCAAGGCGCGCCCUAGAGCGAAAUCGGUGACUGGGGCUAAGUCGUAACAAGGUAUC
RNAcentral lists this ribosomal RNA (199 nucleotides) under uncultured bacterium. Its description in RNAcentral is "partial 16S ribosomal RNA". It matches the Rfam family "Bacterial small subunit ribosomal RNA", at positions 1294 to 1500 of the family's 1533-position model. The record is from RNAcentral.